Long non-coding RNA from Glycine soja, 555 nucleotides. RefSeq lists it as uncharacterized. Lineage: Eukaryota; Viridiplantae; Streptophyta; Magnoliopsida; Fabales; Fabaceae. The transcript has 4 exons. The record is from RefSeq and is a predicted model, not a curated record.
AUUAUUGGAGUAUAAGCUUAGGUCAUGGAUCACUGUAUGGUUUUCUUGAACCUCAGUCUAUACACAACACAAAGAACAGACGUGAAGAAUGUCAACAUUACAUUGAAACAUGGGUCAAGGAAUCACAACCACAAGUCUACUUAGGAGCUUACUUGAAUCAUGCAAUGAAGACAUUAACCACUACUUUGGAAGGAAAGCCAGAUCAAGCUAUACCUCAGUGGAUUGAACCAAAGAGUCAUGUUCAAACUGGAGGCUACGAGUGUGGAUAUUAUGUCAUGCAUUGGAUAUGGUGCAUAGUGAGUGACAGUUUGAAGAAUGAAUGGAAUAAGUGGUUUUAUGAUGGAACACCGUGAGACAAAGAGACCAUGACAACACUUUGCAACAAAUGAGCAACAUAUUUUCUCCAGAUUAAAAACAUGGAAUUUAGAAAAAUUUAGAUGACAUAGGAACAAUUUUGUUUCAAACUAAACAUUUUCAUUGUAUAUUGAUAAUAAACAAUUAUGGUCAGUUGACAUUUAAUUCAGCAAUAAUGUAUAUUUGUUUUAGUAAUACUUG